CGAUAUCGACGAGUUUGAUCUGGCUCAGAACGAACGCUGGCGGCAUGCCUAACACAUGCAAGUCGAACGAAGGCUUCGGCCUUAGUGGCGCACGGGUGCGUAACGCGUGGGAACCUGCCCCUCGGUUCGGAAUAACAGUUAGAAAUGACUGCUAAUACCGGAUGAUGACUUCGGUCCAAAGAUUUAUCGCCGAGGGAUGGGCCCGCGUAGGAUUAGCUAGUUGGUGGGGUAAAGGCCUACCAAGGCGACGAUCCUUAGCUGGUCUGAGAGGAUGAUCAGCCACACUGGGACUGAGACACGGCCCAGACUCCUACGGGAGGCAGCAGUGGGGAAUAUUGGACAAUGGGCGAAAGCCUGAUCCAGCAAUGCCGCGUGAGUGAUGAAGGCCUUAGGGUUGUAAAGCUCUUUUACCAGGGAUGAUAAUGACAGUACCUGGAGAAUAAGCUCCGGCUAACUCCGUG
This 461-nucleotide ribosomal RNA is filed under the name uncultured bacterium. RNAcentral's name for it is "bacterial SSU rRNA". It matches the Rfam family "Bacterial small subunit ribosomal RNA", at positions 1 to 507 of the family's 1533-position model. The record is from RNAcentral.